CACGUAGGGGGCGAGCGUUGUCCGGAUUUAUCGGGCGUAAAGAGCUCGUAGGCGGUUCAGUAAGUCGGGUGUGAAACCCCCGGGCUCAACCCGGGGACGCCACCCGAUACUGCUGUGACUGGAGUCCGGUAGGGGAGCGUGGAAUUCCUGGUGUAGCGGUGAAAUGCGCAGAUAUCAGGAGGAACACCAGCGGCGAAGGCGGCGCUCUGGGCCGGUACUGACGCUGAGGAGCGAAAGCGUGGGGAGCGAACAGG
Molecule: ribosomal RNA, 254 nt
Filed under: uncultured bacterium
Lineage: Bacteria
Description: partial 16S ribosomal RNA
Rfam family: Bacterial small subunit ribosomal RNA
Source: RNAcentral